Molecule: long non-coding RNA, 983 nt
Filed under: Pan troglodytes (chimpanzee)
Lineage: Eukaryota; Metazoa; Chordata; Mammalia; Primates; Hominidae
Description: long non-coding RNA NONPTRT005922
Source: RNAcentral
UUGGGUACCAGGUGUGCAAAGUCAUGGAUAAAUGCCCAAGCUCCCUCAACACACAGAGGACCAAGCGCAUGAACCUCCUGGUCGUGGAGAUGUACUUGGAUAUGUCCUCUUGGAUCCUGAGCCCAAACUGGCAUGUCUCAUUCAGUUGCCACUGAUGCUCUGAUCCUGGAGCUUCUAUCCAUAUUCAGUCCAGGUCCCUUACCAGGUGUUUCUUACAUAAAAGGAGUUUAAGCUAUUCUUGUGAGGAUAAGCUUUAUUUUAAGAUUUAUGAAAGUUAUAUCUGUGCCGAUUUAACUUUGUCUCCUGGAAAUCCCCGGGCCAGGCUGCAUCAUACUAAGUGACAGGUAGUGUCAGCCCCGCAAGAUGCUCGGAUGGGUUUUAUGGCUACCAUUAAUCUUACAGCCACCAGAUGUCUUUUAUCGUAUACUACACCAGCUUACAGAUGUGGAAACUGAGGCUCAGAGGACUGCACAAAUUUGCAGGUCUCACAGGGAGUAAUGGAGCCAGGAGCUCCUACCAUCCUCCUGGCAGGAGGGGAAUCCCAGGUAGCCUCCUCAGCAAUGCCGAAGUUAUUUUCAGCUUAGCAGCUGAACAUUUCAGCAAAGAGCAGCUUGGAAGUGUCUCCUGGACCCCCAGAGGAGACGUAGAAACGGGGUUUCACCGUAUGAGCCAGGAUGGUCUCGAUCUCCUGACCCUGUGAUCCGCCCGCCUCGGCCUUCUGAAGUGCUGGGAUUACCCAGGGGUAUUGUCCCAGAAACAGUAAGCUAUCGUCCCUGGGAAUCCAAGCCCUGCUUGUCUGCAUCCUGAUCCUGAAGCUUAGAAGAGCUUUCUACAGGAAGAGUUUUCUGACUUUCUAGUCUCUUCACACUCACUGUAAUCCAUAAUAGGCCGUAUGUAGCCUUGGACACUAAAUUCACCGAUUCAUUCAACAAACACCAUUGAGCACACACCUUGCAUCAGUCGUUCUGGGAACUGGGGAUAUU